RNAcentral lists this long non-coding RNA (119 nucleotides) under Mus musculus (house mouse). RNAcentral describes it as "predicted gene, 57975". Lineage: Eukaryota; Metazoa; Chordata; Mammalia; Rodentia; Muridae. The record is from RNAcentral.
CCCAACGUUGUUCCUCAAGUUUUUUUUGCCUGGUCUGUAUCAAAAGACAGAAUCUUGAUGACUAAGACAUUUUCUUUGGGUUUGAAGUCUCCAGAGCAGCAAAGAGAGUGGGGAGUAGA